ACCUACGGGGUGCAGCAGUAGGGAAUUUUCGUCAAUGGGCGCAAGCCUGAACGAGCAAUGCCGCGUGAACGAGGAAGGUCUUCGGAUCGUAAAGCUCUGUUGAAGGGGAAAAAGAGCGGAGAGAGGAAAUGGUCUCCGAUUGAUAUUACCCUUCGAGGAAGUCACGGCUAACUACGUGCCAGCAGCCGCGGUAAUACGUAGGUGGCGAGCGUUAUCCGGAAUGAUUGGGCGUAAAGGGUGCGUAGGCGGCCUGCUAAGUCUGGAGUGAAAGGUACCGGCUCAACCGGUACAGGCUCUGGAAACUG
This 305-nucleotide ribosomal RNA is filed under the name uncultured bacterium. RNAcentral describes it as "bacterial SSU rRNA". It matches the Rfam family "Bacterial small subunit ribosomal RNA", at positions 337 to 635 of the family's 1533-position model. The record is from RNAcentral.